RNAcentral lists this long non-coding RNA (2440 nucleotides) under Xyrichtys novacula (pearly razorfish). The record is from RNAcentral. Lineage: Eukaryota; Metazoa; Chordata; Actinopteri; Labriformes; Labridae.
AUUAAUUAGAAUAUCAUCUUUUCAGCCUCAUCAGAGAAGGUCUGGCAACGAUACAGCCUCUGGAGGAGACGGUCAACUUAUCUAGACUCCUGCAUGGCCAGCAGAGACUUUCAGCCAGGACUUAUUGAUGACAGUCCAACCAGCGAAUGGAGAAACCAGACCAGAGUCGAGAAAAGGCGUCCAAAAGCAGGUUUGUGAAUGCUUUGUCAUGAUUACGUUUGUUUAAAGUUAUGAAUCAAAGCUGGAUCAGCGCCUGCAUGUUACAGAUUGUGUACUUCUCCUUUUGCAGACUGACAAAAAAUAAGCACAAGAGAGCACCACAUCCAGUCAGAAGUCUUCAGGUUUUGCAUUCUUGUGCAGCAUUUGUGAUUAUUUUUUUUUUUAUUAAAUAUUGAAGCAGUUUAUAUUUAUCCCUUAAAAGAGGGUCAAGAAAGGUCUCCAAGAGCUCAAACAGGUACCACAACAGAUCCUUAAACCUUUUCUCAUCAUGGCUGCAAAACAAAAAAUGAAAAAGAGCCCUCCCUGAAAUCCUUAAAUCAUCUUCAAAACUGAUCGAAUUCACAAGAAAUAACCUCUUGCAUACAAAUUAAACCUUCUCUGAGCUGCUGUGCGAGUGUUAUAAAAGAGCAGGGAGGGCAGCAGGACCACCACGGACCACCACGGCUGCUCCUCGCCUUCAAACACUCCGGCAAUCUGCCUCUUAAAACACUUUAUUUAUUCAGCUCCGGAGCCAUACUCUAAAGUUUUCUAACCUCUCAAAUCUAUUUCUUUUUUUUUCUCCAGUGAUUCAGAUUUGAUCCUUGAGACUAAAUGUAGAGAGCAGCUUUAAAGACAUGCUUGAGUUUAAUUUGAAUUAGGACCAUUGCAGCGUGGUUUUCUGUUUUAUACGAACAGCAGAGGAACAUUCAUUGUGUUUGGUUUCUGGAAUAUUCUCUCUGCCUCACAUCAGGUAGCAGAGAGAGAGAUGGGCUCUGUGUGCGUGUGUGUGUGUUUGUGAGUGCGUUUAUGUAUGUGUGGUUUGUAUGCAUGUGUAUUUGUGUGUAUGUGUGUCCAAGAGCAAGUGUGUGCGUAUUUGUGUGUGUCUGUGUGUGCGUGUGUGUGUGUGUGUGCAGGCGCAUGUGUGCGAGGCUGCUGCCAUGCCUACGAGAUGGGGGAUGGUAGCAGCACAGCCAGCUAUUUUUCUUUCUUUCUCUCCUGAACAUCAAGUUUGGUCUCCCAUCAGCCUCGUCCUCCACAGAAAACGGCUGCUGGUUAAAGAUGUGAUGCAAACAUCUACGAUAAACCAGCGCACUAGACGCAGGACUAUUGAUUAACUCGGUAUGCUACAGACUUGUAUUGAUCCAUUUUACUAUAGAAAAUAUCGAUUAAUCAAAAUAAGGAGGAUAAAAUGAUCUGUUCAGCCAAGCAAGACAGAUAAGGAAGGUUAUUACCAAACUAAUACACCCAUGAAUCCUAUCUAACUUAGAUGUAAAGAACGCAGAUGUUCCUCGACUAAAAUAAACUAAAUGCUGAUAUUUUUUUUUAAAUUGAAGAACACACUAAGAAAUGUCCCAGUCUUUAAUAACACAAUGCAGAUUUUAAUUGGCAAAAAUUUAAGGACACUAAUUGCCUGUUGGCCUCUUGCAGAUUCCAGUUGUAAAAACGUCGCCCUCUUUACCUGUGCCAGUUGUCUUCUUCAACUACUUCCUUUGAAACAAAGUCAAACAGGUAAAUACACCUCGUAAGUUUAACUUUAAAGGUUUGAUAUGUUUAAAUAACCCAAUAGGCAUUUUUUUUUUUCAUGAAAAAAGUUUGGUUACACUUUACUUGACGCCAAUCUUAUUAACGCAUUAUAAAUAUAUUCAUAAUGCGUUAUAAUCACGUUAUAGCACUUUAAAACUAUAAACACUCAUAAAUGAUCAUAAUGCUUUAUAGCAAUAAUCGUAACACAUUAUAAAGCAUUUUAUCAUGACUUACAAGGUCAGGUAUUAUAAUGUGUUAUAACUGUUAACAACUUACUAACAAUGAUUACAUAGAUAAUACAAUGUAACUGUUGGUAACAGUUAUAACACAUUAUACAGUGCUUUAACAUGAUUAUAACCCAUUAUAAAUAUAUUCAUAAUGCGUGACAGAGAUAGGCGUGAAGUAAAGUGUUACCAAAAGUUCCACUGAAAUAAAAUUAUUAGCUGUUUAUAACCUGCUGUAGUUACCAUUAGAGCAAUGUGUUGCAAAAAGCUUGACAAGAUCUGCAGCCUCAUAGUUUCUAACCUCAUUGCACAGUGAUCUGAGUGAGCUGGGAUGGGAUAAGAGUAAGGUGAUGAGCUGAUUGGCUGCUUGAUUGUUGUCUAAAGGUAAAAGGAUGCAGACAGAUGCAGAGGUGGAAAAACACCAGAACAAAUUUGCCGAGCCCUCCAGAAGAAUCCAUGCCAGUUCACCACGGAAUCUGACCCCCGGACAAGAG